CCUACGGGAGGCAGCAGUGGGGGAUAUUGCACAAUGGGGGGAACCCUGAUGCAGCGACGCCGCGUGGGUGAAGGCGCGUUUCGGCGCGUAAAGCCCUAUCGGCAGGGAAGCAGGCGGACGGUACCUGACUAAGAAGCCCCGGCUAACUACGUGCCAGCAGCCGCGGUAAUACGUAGGGGGCAAGCGUUCUCCGGAUUUCCUGGGGGUAAAGGGGGCGCAGACGGCAGCGCAAGCCAGGCGUGAAAGCCCGGGGCCCAACCCCGGGACUGCUCUUGGAACUGCGCGGCUGGAGUGCAGGAGGGGCAGGCGGAAUGCCUGGUGUAGCGGUGAAAUGCGUAGAUAUCAGGAGGAAC
RNAcentral lists this ribosomal RNA (353 nucleotides) under uncultured bacterium. Its description in RNAcentral is "partial 16S ribosomal RNA". It matches the Rfam family "Bacterial small subunit ribosomal RNA", at positions 338 to 707 of the family's 1533-position model. The record is from RNAcentral.